This 408-nucleotide long non-coding RNA is filed under the name Homo sapiens (human). RNAcentral describes it as "non-protein coding lnc-GTPBP6-1:1". Lineage: Eukaryota; Metazoa; Chordata; Mammalia; Primates; Hominidae. The record is from RNAcentral.
AGAUGCCCAGACAGGCCGCGCUGAGCGUGCUGUGUCUUUCUGCAGCAGAGGGUCUCUGGGCGGCGUCGGUCAGGCGCGAGGUACGCAGCAGGAGCGCCGGCGUCCAGGCCCUGCUGACUGCCCACUCCUGCCCUCUCUGCCCCAGGCCUGCGGCUGCCCCCUCUACUGGAAGGGGCCGCUCUUCUAUGGCGCCGGCGGGGAGCGCACGGGCUCCGUGUCCGUCCACAAGUUCGUCGCCAUGUGGAGAAAAAUCCUCCAGAACUGCCACGACGACGCGGCCAAGUUCGUCCAUCUGCUCAUGAGCCCCGGCUGCAACUACCUGGUGCAGGAGGACUUUGUCCCCUUCUUGCAGGACGUGGUGAACACGCACCCGGGGCUGUCGUUCCUGAAGGAGGCGUCCGAGUUCCA